AAGGCUAAAUACUCCUGACUGACCGAUAGUGAACCAGUACCGUGAGGGAAAGGCGAAAAGAACCCCGGCGAGGGGAGUGAAAAAGAACCUGAAACCGUGUACGUACAAGCAGUGGGAGCACCCUUCGGGGUGUGACUGCGUACCUUUUGUAUAAUGGGUCAGCGACUUAUAUUCUGUAGCAAGGUUAACCGAAUAGGGGAGCCGCAGGGAAACCGAGUCUUAACCGGGCGUUAAGUUGCAGGGUAUAGACCCGAAACCCGGUGAUCUAGCCAUGGGCAGGUUGAAGGUUGGGUAACACUAACUGGAGGACCGAACCGACUAAUGUUGAAAAAUUAGCGGAUGACCUGUGGCUGGGGGUGAAAGGCCAAUCAAACCGGGAGAUAGCUGGUUCUCCCCGAAAGCUAUUUAGGUAGCGCCUCGUGAAUUCAUCUCCGGGGGUAGAGCACUGUUUCGGCUAGGGGGCCAUCCCGGCUUACCAACCCGAUGCAAACUGCGAAUACCGGAGAAUGUUAUCACGGGAGACACACGGCGGGUGCUAACGUCCGUCGUGAAGAGGGAAACAACCCAGACCGCCAGCUAAGGUCCCAAAGUCAUGGUUAAGUGGGAAACGAUGUGGGAAGGCCCAGACAGCCAGGAUGUUGGCUUAGAAGCAGCCAUCAUUUAAAGAAAGCGUAAUAGCUCACUGGUCGAGUCGGCCUGCGCGGAAGAUGUAACGGGGCUAAACCAUGCACCGAAGCUGCGGCAGCGACGCUGAUGCGUUGUUGGGUAGGGGAGCGUUCUGUAAGCCUGUGAAGGUGGCCUGUGAGGGUUGCUGGAGGUAUCAGAAGUGCGAAUGCUGACAUAAGUAACGAUAAAGCGGGUGAAAAGCCCGCUCGCCGGAAGACCAAGGGUUCCUGUCCAACGUUAAUCGGGGCAGGGUGAGUCGACCCCUAAGGCGAGGCCGAAAGGCGUAGUCGAUGGGAAACGGGUUAAUAUUCCCGUACUUGGUGUUACUGCGAAGGGGGGACGGAGAAGGCUAUGUUGGCCGGGCGACGGUUGUCCCGGUUUAAGCGUGUAGGUGUGUGUUCCAGGUAAAUCCGGUUCACUUUAACACUGAGGCGUGACGACGAGGCACUACGGUGCUGAAGCAACAAAUGCCCUGCUUCCAGGAAAAGCCUCUAAGCAUCAGGUAACAUCAAAUCGUACCCCAAACCGACACAGGUGGUCAGGUAGAGAAUACCAAGGCGCUUGAGAGAACUCGGGUGAAGGAACUAGGCAAAAUGGUGCCGUAACUUCGGGAGAAGGCACGCUGACACGUAGGUGAAGUGAUUUACUCAUGGAGCUGAAGUCAGUCGAAGAUACCAGCUGGCUGCAACUGUUUAUUAAAAACACAGCACUGUGCAAACACGAAAGUGGACGUAUACGGUGUGACGCCUGCCCGGUGCCGGAAGGUUAAUUGAUGGGGUCAGCGCAAGCGAAGCUCCUGAUCGAAGCCCCGGUAAACGGCGGCCGUAACUAUAACGGUCCUAAGGUAGCGAAAUUCCUUGUCGGGUAAGUUCCGACCUGCACGAAUGGCGUAAUGAUGGCCAGGCUGUCUCCACCCGAGACUCAGUGAAAUUGAACUCGCUGUGAAGAUGCAGUGUACCCGCGGCAAGACGGAAAGACCCCGUGAACCUUUACUAUAGCUUGACACUGAACAUUGAGCCUUGAUGUGUAGGAUAGGUGGGAGGCUUUGAAGUGUGGACGCCAGUCUGCAUGGAGCCGACCUUGAAAUACCACCCUUUAAUGUUUGAUGUUCUAACGUGGACCCGUUACCCGGGUUGCGGACAGUGUCUGGUGGGUAGUUUGACUGGGGCGGUCUCCUCCUAAAGAGUAACGGAGGAGCACGAAGGUUGGCUAAUCCUGGUCGGACAUCAGGAGGUUAGUGCAAUGGCAUAAGCCAGCUUGACUGCGAGCGUGACGGCGCGAGCAGGUGCGAAAGCAGGUCAUAGUGAUCCGGUGGUUCUGAAUGGAAGGGCCAUCGCUCAACGGAUAAAAGGUACUCCGGGGAUAACAGGCUGAUACCGCCCAAGAGUUCAUAUCGACGGCGGUGUUUGGCACCUCGAUGUCGGCUCAUCACAUCCUGGGGCUGAAGUAGGUCCCAAGGGUAUGGCUGUUCGCCAUUUAAAGUGGUACGCGAGCUGGGUUUAGAACGUCGUGAGACAGUUCGGUCCCUAUCUGCCGUGGGCGCUGGAGAACUGAGGGGGGCUGCUCCUAGUACGAGAGGACCGGAGUGGACGCAUCACUGGUGUUCGGGUUGUCAUGCCAAUGGCACUGCCCGGUAGCUAAAUGCGGAAGAGAUAAGUGCUGAAAGCAUCUAAGCACGAAACUUGCCCCGA
Molecule: ribosomal RNA, 2357 nt
Filed under: Salmonella enterica subsp. enterica serovar Virchow
Lineage: Bacteria; Pseudomonadati; Pseudomonadota; Gammaproteobacteria; Enterobacterales; Enterobacteriaceae
Description: partial 23S ribosomal RNA
Rfam family: Bacterial large subunit ribosomal RNA
Source: RNAcentral